This 253-nucleotide ribosomal RNA is filed under the name uncultured bacterium. RNAcentral describes it as "partial 16S ribosomal RNA". It matches the Rfam family "Bacterial small subunit ribosomal RNA", at positions 524 to 776 of the family's 1533-position model. The record is from RNAcentral.
GACGAAGGUGGCAAGCGUUGUUCGGAUUCACUGGGCAUAAAGGGCGCGUAGGCGGUUCCAUAAGCGGCAUGUGAAAGCCCCCGGCUCAACCGGGGAAGUGCGUGCCGGACUGUGGUUCUAGAGGGUGGUAGGGGGGACUGGAACUCUCGGUGGAGCGGUGAAAUGCGUAGAUAUCGAGAGGAACACCGGUGGCGAAGGCGAGUCCCUGGUCCACUUCUGACGCUGAGGCGCGAAAGCGUGGGUAGCAAACAGG